This 2719-nucleotide long non-coding RNA is filed under the name Hordeum vulgare. RNAcentral describes it as "long non-coding RNA (HVUL_LNC008450)". Lineage: Eukaryota; Viridiplantae; Streptophyta; Magnoliopsida; Poales; Poaceae. The record is from RNAcentral.
UAGUACAUUGUUAUGGGAUGAGAUGCUAUAUAUAUAGUCCGUCCCAAAGUGUACAUCUCCUUUGAUAACAAAUUUUAGUAGCAAGUCAGCAUAGACAUACUUUAAGAUGGAAGCAUGUAGUCCGGGACUGGUAGCUAAUCAUUUGAUUAGUUAUUUCUCAAGCAUAUCAAUCAUUAGCUAUAUACAAACUUGCUAUAAUAUAUGAGGAGUUGGAGUGAAACAAAUAAGCUAGGUAUUUUCCUAUACAAGCAGUAUGAAAGUGUCAAUGCAGCCAUGGUGGGAGGCCGACGAGCCAUUCCAAUCAUCCCACUCAUCAACCGACAACAGUGUGACAAUGAGGAGUCGGGCAUACCGUGGUGUCGAAGGCUCGAAGCCGACCCCAAAGUGGAGUCGAAUUGGAGACGAAGUGGUGUCGAAGCCCAAGUGGAGCUCAUGGUCUCUGUCGUGGUUUUGUCACGGCAGAUGUCCUCGUGAAAGGACUUAAAGAUGGAGCCAUCGCACCUUGGUGGCGACUCAAAGGGGUGAGCGAAAGCGAGACUCAGAUUUACCCAGGUUUGGCCCCUCGUGAGGAGGUAAAAGCCUACGUCCUGCUUUGUGUAGAUUGAUGAUGGUUUCGAUUACAAGGAGGACGUAACUCGUCUGACCUAGCUCUCGAUUCUCUCUAACUCGCCUGACCUUUCCCUGGGACUCGCCUUUAUAUACAGGUCGAGGCCCUAGGGUUUACAAAGUCCCGCUAUCCUACACUUGGUAGUCUUCCUUAUCUCUAAGUUGCCGUGCUCCCCACGAACAGGAGCUUCCUUGACGUUCCAUCAUCCGUACGAUCUUCUUGAACCACCCCACAACUCCUGGGCCACUGGAGACAUCGCCAAAGGUGAGUCGUCCCUUUGGUGACCCGGCCCAUUAAGGGCGGGUUACCCACAGGUAACAUCCCCAACAGUCUCUCCAUGCACCCAACGCCUCGACGGACGGCAACGCUUGCAGUGGGACCUGUUGGAGAAGAGGUUUGAUUCUAUAAUGGCGGCGGUGCUCAAAGGACACGAUUGCUUUUUAACUUAUACUCAUAUCGUCGUUGUUGAUCUGACGAGAGGAAGAAGGCGAUGUCAAAGUUUCAGAACAAAAGACAAUGAGAGAGGUGUGUUUUUCAGCAGCUCAAAACUCUGCUCCCUUUUUCUGUUAUUCUGAUCCUCUUCUUAUGCCCUAUUUACAGCAGUCGUUAGGUGAUCUAACUAACUCGUUUUACCCGAUUCGUUGGUCAUUUGCGAGGCUAUUUUAUUCGAGUUUUAUUUUUUCAUUUUAACAUUUAUGUUAAUGCGUGUAAUUUUUCAAAUUCGUAUUUUUAUUCAAAAUUUAUGAUUUUCCUUAUUAAAAAAAUUAGAUGAACUUUUCUGACAAAUGGUGAACUCUUUUAAAAUUUGAUGAACUUUUUUCAAAAUUUGAUGAACUGUUUUGGAAUUUGAUGAACUUUUUUAAAAUUUCGAUGAACUUUUUAAAUGAUUUCUGUUACUUUUUGUACGAAAAUGACCGUGAAACUGGGCCGGCCCAAUUUCCUGGGCGCCCACGCGCCAGUUCUCCUAGCGGGCGCUUAAGGCGCCGACUAGCUAGGAGCUCGUCAUUUAGGUCAAUCAAAAAAAAAAGAGCUCCUCAUUUAGAGUACUAGCGAUCUUUUUUUCUUUCCAAUCCCUGUAGCGAUCGUACAUAGCAUGAGGAUUUCAAUCCCUAUCGUUCCAUGGCCAUUUUAGCAGCGAGACCAUCGCCAAACGGCCGAGUAGCUCUAAAUUGUUUUAACACUAGGCCUAUAUAGAAAUUCUGGGGCGCCUGUGCAUGUCCGCGCUGCAGCUAGCUAGCACAGGAAUAUGAUGGCAUGUUGGGGAAGAAGAUGGAGUAGCUGCUUUCAGAUUCGCGGAUCGAUCCACCUUUUUCUUGCUUCUCUUGCGUCUGAAUUCCAUGAUGAAAUUUCAAAGAGCCUGGUAACGUCAUAUCAAUGGAAUGGGUCGUUCUGCUCGCUCCGAACGGCUCCUAGCUACCAGAAAAAAGGGAAAGUAGUGCUUGUACGUACCCAUCUUUGGUGCACCCACGAAAGAACCUUUGUGAAAAUGAUCAUCAACGAAAGUUAUGAACACUUGAAUAGUUUGGUGGUCAAAUAACAUUUGAGGAGCUUUGUAAAAAAAAACGGAUCCGGAAACCAGCCCCUAUGACCUCCCAGGUGAGGCAACUCGGGUGGGGCGCAGCCGCCAUAUUGGUCAACCCUGCCGUCACCGUUGGACGCCUCCGGUCAAAAACGGCAAGGCAAGAUUUUCAUAACAUGAAUCACAGAACGUCCAAGCUAGCUUGAGUUGGAGUCUAUGGAAGUCGAUAGAGUUAUCUUGGCAUAAUUAUAGGCCAAGCCCGAGGCUAAUAUCAUGUAGGGAAACAUAUUCCCUGUUUGUUUCACUCCAACAUCUCAUACAAACGGUGGAGGAAUAACGGAUGGAUUUGAAAUGAGUGCGGAAUAGAUACUAGCACAAGACCACUUGUUUCUAAAUUUCAGCUAUAUAUAUCUAGCUUACUUACUAUAAUUUGAUAUAUACCAGAGGAAGGAAGAUGUACAUUUUGUGAUGAACUAUAUAUACAUACCAGCCAAAUGAAUGCUACUUAAACAUCCAAUAGGCAUGCAUGCAUGCAAUCAUGAGUAUAUUGUUUGUGGCAUCGGCCGGGCACCAGCCCAAGCAUUUUCUUGGCA